This 76-nucleotide transfer RNA is filed under the name Paracoccaceae bacterium. RNAcentral's name for it is "tRNA-Ala". It matches the Rfam family "tRNA". Rfam says of the family: Transfer RNA (tRNA) molecules are approximately 80 nucleotides in length. Their secondary structure includes four short double-helical elements and three loops (D, anti-codon, and T loops). Further hydrogen bonds mediate the characteristic L-shaped molecular structure. tRNAs have two regions of fundamental functional importance: the anti-codon, which is responsible for specific mRNA codon recognition, and the 3' end, to which the tRNAs corresponding amino acid is attached (by aminoacyl-tRNA synthetases). tRNAs cope with the degeneracy of the genetic code in two manners: having more than one tRNA (with a specific anti-codon) for a particular amino acid; and 'wobble' base-pairing, i.e. permitting non-standard base-pairing at the 3rd anti-codon position. The record is from RNAcentral. Lineage: Bacteria; Pseudomonadati; Pseudomonadota; Alphaproteobacteria; Rhodobacterales; Paracoccaceae. RNAcentral also lists the same sequence under 2 other names.
GGGGCCAUAGCUCAGAUGGGAGAGCGCUUGAAUGGCAUUCAAGAGGUCGGGAGUUCGAUCCUCCCUGGCUCCACCA